UGCAAGUCGAGCGAACAGACGAGGAGCUUGCUCCUCUGACGUUAGCGGCGGACGGGUGAGUAACACGUGGAUAACCUACCUAUAAGACUGGGAUAACUUCGGGAAACCGGAGCUAAUACCGGAUAAUAUAUUGAACCGCAUGGUUCAAUAGUGAAAGACGGUUUUGCUGUCACUUAUAGAUGGAUCCGCGCCGCAUUAGCUAGUUGGUAAGGUAACGGCUUACCAAGGCAACGAUGCGUAGCCGACCUGAGAGGGUGAUCGGCCACACUGGAACUGAGACACGGUCCAGACUCCUACGGGAGGCAGCAGUAGGGAAUCUUCCGCAAUGGGCGAAAGCCUGACGGAGCAACGCCGCGUGAGUGAUGAAGGUCUUCGGAUCGUAAAACUCUGUUAUUAGGGAAGAACAAAUGUGUAAGUAACUAUGCACGUCUUGACGGUACCUAAUCAGAA
This 450-nucleotide ribosomal RNA is filed under the name Staphylococcus epidermidis. Its description in RNAcentral is "bacterial SSU rRNA". It matches the Rfam family "Bacterial small subunit ribosomal RNA", at positions 56 to 488 of the family's 1533-position model. The record is from RNAcentral. Lineage: Bacteria; Bacillati; Bacillota; Bacilli; Caryophanales; Staphylococcaceae.